AUAUAUCAAAUUUCCAUAUUUCAGUCAUAAAAUUCAGCGGAGAAAAGAGAUACCUAGAAUUUCUUACAAAUAUACUAUCCUAUCUAUAAGUGACCAGAUAAAGUACUUAUCCAUGAUCAAUUAUCGAAAUCUGCUCUUUACGAUUAAAGUAUUUGAUUUUGCAUUUUUUCAUUUAUAAAGAUGUAAAAUAUUUGAAAUUCUCAUGUUUCUAAUUUCCAUGUUUGAAUACUUCAAUUCAAAUAAAGGAGCACAAAGACGGCAUUGAAAAAUACUAGGACUUCAGUUUUCUCAGAUGUUUUAGAAUGAUAGAGAACUUCCACCUUGCAAUAUUCUUUCUAUCAUUUUUGAGUUUGUUAUAUUUUUAUAACGUUAUGAAAUAUCUUCACACAGUUUGAACAAAAUAUGAAAAGUCUUAUUGAUAUAUAUAUAUAUGAUUCCUCGUAAAUGUCAUAUAAUAUUAGAGUGUAGUAUGUUUCAAUCUAUUGCGGCAUUCAGGACGAAAUAUAUAAAACUCACGUGGCAGUUAACGUGUUAAUCCUGUUGUUCUCUUCGGAUCUGUAUGACCUGAAAUGGAUAUUAUGUUUCAAUAGGCGUUAUUACAUAAUAUUAAUCGGAUAGUAUUAUUAUAUCGUAAUAGAUAUUAUUAUCAUUAUUAUUAUAGUUAAUAGCCAAUUAAUACUAUGUAAUAAUAUUUAUUGAAACGUAGUAUCCAUUUUAGGUCAUAUAGAUUCGAAGAGGACAGCGGGGUUAACAGGGUUUUAAUAGAUAUUAUUAAAAUAUAGAUAGGUAGCAUAAGAUAAAACGUUAUAAAGUAUUUAAUUUCUAAAUAUUAUUAGAAAUUACAGAUAUUAUUAUUAUUAUUACGAUACAGACAACUUUUAAAUAUUCGCUUUUGCUAUUCAAUAUCAUUCUCACUGUCGUGCUUGUGUUCUACUUUUUUAACGAAUAAAGUAUUUCAACAAGGAAGAUAUCUAAAGAGAUGGAAACGUGAAAACGAAGCCCGAAGAACGGCAGGAUCCACUAACUUGAGCGUUAUCAAUGUUGAAUGAUUCACUUAUGAAACACCCUGUACAGUGUCGUACACGUUCCACGUUCAUCGGUGCGCUCUAUCAGGCGUGCUUCUUGGCACACCCUGUGUGUACGGUGCGUUGAUCGGGUGGCUCGUGGCACGCAUGCUCGGUUACCUCUGUCCGGAAGCCUCGCCACCGUGGAGAAAACGAUGCUUUCGAAAAAGAGGCCUCCCACUUUCGGCCGAGCAGUCUUCGACUGAUCCUCGAACGAGAAAGGUCGUCGGUAUUCGACGCGCGCGCGAUACCAUCCAACACGUUCCUAUUAUAGUGUGUGCGUGUGUGUUGAGUAUAAUCACUCGUCCUCUCUCCAAUUCUCUUUUUCCUUUAUUCCAUCGCUUUCUACGUAUUCUUACAAAGUUUCCGUAUAUUCACCGCGAUAGGUAUCGAUAGCCAGAAAUUUUUCGCGGCUAAGGUAUUCAGAGGUCGAAGACGAAGAAAGUCUCUUGACCCUUUUUUUUUUUCUUUUCUUUUCUUUUUCACUGUUGGUUCUCGAGCGCGUCGCGAGUUCGAUGUUCUUUCGGUUCAACGAUUCCUUCGCGCUGGUGGAACAACCUCGAGAUACUAUGCGGUCCCAUCGGCUCGUCCUUAUUCCGUUCUGUCGUUUGUUUUCGUUUCGCGCCACAUAGAGGCUACCCCCGUGCUUUUCUCUGGCGAUAUGGCCCUUUGAUGUUUGCUGAUCUGUGGAGGGGCGAGUGAACAGAGAACCGCGAACGUACUAUGUUGCUGUGAAACUCGCGAACCGCGGAUUCGCCUCACGAAAUCUUCAGGUGAACCAGCGAUACGGUCGCGAAAGGUCGAACGAAAUAGAAAAAGGCAAAACCCGAGUCACACCAGAGAGGCAAAUCAUACAGCUGUGUUUCGUUUCUAUCCACUUAGUAGGCCGGGCCACGUGUACCAAGAGAAUUAUUGCAACGGAUAACGCCGUGUUUCUGACACGGUCGACACGCCACGUUACUACGUCGUAACACGAAAUUGAUUAACCCUUAACUGGUUGCGUAUCUCCGUCGGGUUAAAGGCUGAUCAAUACGAGCCACGUUUCAUUCGUUCGAUCCGAGUGUCUUCUUUUUAACUGGCUGCGACAAUUGCUAUCUCUGAGGAGCUUCCUUUUAGGAAGCUUCGGAAAGCCACGUCUCGAGUAAUACUUGUGAUUCCCCAUCGAGUCUUUCGUGGAUUGUCAGUUUGGAACACUUUAACGUCUCGUUACCUCUUUUUCUCUUCCACGAGCGAUCCGAUCGCUUUUCAAUGAAAUAUCGGUUAGAAUAUAGAGGACAGAACAAUUUUCUCUUUGCUCUUUCAUGUAUACGCGGAAUUACUUAAUCCUGAAGUAGAUAUUAUAUUUGUAUAUUAAGUGUCGUUCGAAGAAUUGUUGUAUAAUGUGGUCCUGAUAUACCGUACUUUAUUGGUGGAGAAGUUUUAAAUGGAAUAUUGUACCGAUGGAACAUAGAAGUUUGAGUAUAAUAGCGUGUUAGUUUCAAUAGUUAAUUCCGUAGCUGUGUAAUCGAGUAAUAAGCUAUAUAAUACACGUUGUUACACAGUAGUUGGCCAGAUACCUUCCGUUGUUUGAAGAAUAUCUACUGCAUGCAAUGAACGUGAACUCUUUCUCACUUCGGUAGAUCUUAAUGUCUCGUUGUUUGGAAAAUUGUUGUACGCGAAUACUGUUACGCGUGGUUUCCACGAACAUCUAUACUCUUUGUAUGUGUAUUAAAAAACGCGAGGAAGUGUAGACAUAACAGAAUACCUGAGCAACAAUGUAUUAACGUUAAUUAAUAACGAUUGUGUAGUUAGAUAAUUCAGUAGUAAGCUAUGUAAUAGACAACACAGUUAACAAGAUAUCUUGUAGUGUCGUUUAUUGGAAAUUUUCUCUAUGUAAUACGGUGUAUUUGAUGUACUUGAACAAAUUCAAACGAACUUAAUAGGAAGUCUUUCGUUUUGCAAUUAAUGUUAUAUAUUAUCAUUGUUAUAUAUUAUCGUAGAUGUUAAUCAUGAAGAUAAAAAAUGACAGAGAAAGCGAUAAUAAGAGCAUGCAAACGAGGAAAAUGUGUUUAGCGAUGUUUUAUAACGAUGUUCUGUAGCGAUAGCGAUAUUUCAGCGUGAAAUGUGUCAAAUUACUGAAUUCUUCCUAUCGUAUGUAUCUGAUGCUUAGUCAUCGUGUAUAUCUCAUAAUCAGGAUAUCGGUGUAAUUAAUUUGUGUUACUUGCACGCGAAAAUAGAUCAACCGAAUUGAUUAGACGCAACAUGUUUACGAAUUCAAGACACCUUUGACAAAUGAUCUUAAAAUGAUUAAUUGUAUGUAAAAAUAGUUCUACCUAAAAUAUUCGUCUACAUAAUUGUUAAUCAGGCUGCAUUUCAAAGAUAAAAUCAAAGAGGGAGCUUAGGAAAGAAAUAUUUUUUUUUAUAAGUAGCAAUUAAUCAGAACCCUCAGAAGAACUUCGAGUAAUUAAAGGGGUAACUUCAAUAAAUUAGACCAUAAAUUUUAACGGAACAUACGUAAUAUAUUCGCUUUAUCAGGCACCCCUAUAGCGUUUCAUAAACACUGUAGACACUUAUACUUCGUCCUACCAAUCUCAAAAUUAUAAUUCUAAUAUAUCUAUAUCUAUAAAUCUAAGAUUCAAUAUCAAUUCAAGGCGCAGCUUGAAAAAAUACAUUUCUUCACCUAACUUAAUUAGAUUAAAUCUAAGUUUUGAUUGUCUUGUGUAAAAGAACAAGUAAAUAAAGACAUAUUUAUUCCAAUA
This is a long non-coding RNA of Bombus huntii, 3802 nucleotides long. RefSeq lists it as uncharacterized. The record is from RefSeq and is a predicted model, not a curated record. NCBI's taxonomy places the organism in Eukaryota, Metazoa, Arthropoda, Insecta, Hymenoptera, Apidae. The transcript has 2 exons.